CAUGGUUGUCGUCAGCUCGUGCCGUCGAGGUGUCGGCUUAAGUGCCAUAACGAGCGCAACCUCCAUCAUAGUUUACCAUCAGUAGGGCUGGGGACUCUAAUGAGACUGCCAUCGUAAGAUGUGAGGAAGGUGGGGAUGACGUCAAAUCAGCACGGCCCUUACGUCCGGGGCGACACACGUGUUACAAUGGGUGGUACAAAGGGCAGCUACCUGGCGACAGGAUGCUAAUCUCGAAAACCGCUCUCAGUUCGGAUCGGAGUCUGCAACUCGACUCCGUGAAGCUGGAUUCGCUAGUAAUCGCGCAUCAGCCACGGCGCGGUGAAUACGUUCCCGGGCCUU
RNAcentral lists this ribosomal RNA (339 nucleotides) under uncultured Proteiniphilum sp. Its description in RNAcentral is "bacterial SSU rRNA". It matches the Rfam family "Bacterial small subunit ribosomal RNA", at positions 1044 to 1382 of the family's 1533-position model. The record is from RNAcentral. Lineage: Bacteria; Pseudomonadati; Bacteroidota; Bacteroidia; Bacteroidales; Dysgonomonadaceae.